Non-coding RNA from Triticum aestivum (bread wheat), 135 nucleotides. Lineage: Eukaryota; Viridiplantae; Streptophyta; Magnoliopsida; Poales; Poaceae. The record is from Rfam.
AAAGUACUCCCUCCGUCCCAAAAUUCUUGUCUUAGAUUUGUCUAGAUACGGAUGUAUCAAGUCACAUUUUAGUAUUAGAUACAUCCGUAUCUAGACAAAUCUAAGACAAGAAAUUUGGUACAGAGGGAGUAGUUG